CCUACGGGUGGCAGCAGUGAGGAAUAUUGGUCAAUGGCCGGAAGGCUGAACCAGCCAAGUCGCGUGAGGGACGACUGCCCUAUGGGUUGUAAACCUCUUUUAUAAGGGAAUAAAGUGUGGGACGUGUCCUGUUUUGUAUGUACCUUAUGAAUAAGGAUCGGCUAACUCCGUGCCAGCAGCCGCGGUAAUACGGAGGAUCCGAGCGUUAUCCGGAUUUAUUGGGUUUAAAGGGUGCGUAGGCGGCCUUUUAAGUCAGCGGUGAAAGUCUGUGGCUCAACCAUAGAAUUGCCGUUGAAACUGGGAGGCUUGAGUAUGUUUGAGGCAGGCGGAAUGCGUGGUGUAGCGGUGAAAUGCUUAGAUAUCACGCAGAACCCCGAUUGCGAAGGCAGCCUGCCAAGCCAUGACUGACGCUGAUGCACGAAAGCGUGGGGAUCAAACAGGAUUAGAUACCCUUGUAGUC
RNAcentral lists this ribosomal RNA (460 nucleotides) under uncultured bacterium. RNAcentral's name for it is "partial 16S ribosomal RNA". It matches the Rfam family "Bacterial small subunit ribosomal RNA", at positions 338 to 795 of the family's 1533-position model. The record is from RNAcentral.